RNAcentral lists this ribosomal RNA (403 nucleotides) under uncultured bacterium. Its description in RNAcentral is "bacterial SSU rRNA". It matches the Rfam family "Bacterial small subunit ribosomal RNA", at positions 355 to 774 of the family's 1533-position model. The record is from RNAcentral.
UAGGGAAUAUUGCAAAAUGGGCGAAAGCCCGAUGCAGCAACGCCGCGUGGGCGAUGAAGGCCUUCGGGUCGUAAAGCCCUUUUUGAGGGGAUGAGGAAGGACAGUACCCUCAGAAUAAGCCCCGGCUAACUACGUGCCAGCAGCCGCGGUAAUACGUAGGGGGCAAGCGUUGUCCGGAUUUACUGGGUGUAAAGGGCGCGCAGGCGGGAUAAAAAGUCAGUGGUGAAAUCCUACAGCUUAACUGUAGAACUGCCUUUGAUACUUUUAUUCUUGAGUUCGGGAGAGAGAGACGGAAUUCCAGGUGUAGUGGUGAAAUACGUAGAUAGCUGGAAGAACACCAGUUGCGAAGGCGGUCUCUUGGUCCGACACUGACGCUGAGGCGCGAAAGCGUGGGGAGCAACCA